This 2454-nucleotide ribosomal RNA is filed under the name Pinus taeda (loblolly pine). RNAcentral describes it as "eukaryotic LSU rRNA". The stretch from base 542 to 2454 matches the Rfam family "Eukaryotic large subunit ribosomal RNA". Lineage: Eukaryota; Viridiplantae; Streptophyta; Pinopsida; Pinales; Pinaceae. The record is from RNAcentral.
CUAAUUAGGGAAUAUGGUUGACUAGAAGCCAUAUUUGGAAAGGGAAAUGAAAGUUGGUCAACGGUGACAAUUCUGCCUUCAUGCGGGAAACAAAAGACUCGAAAGGGUGUUGAAACAAUAGCUCCCAUAUCAUAAACAUAGUCGCGCCCAAGAAGCAAAUUGUAAUCUAAAGGGCCCGGGACUACCAUCACAUUCAAAUAUAUGAUUUUUCCUCCCAAAGUAAUAGGUAACUGAGGUAGGAUCCCUAAUGGUUGACUGGUUCCUCUGUUAAAAGCCAACAGAUUCUGGGUAACUAGCACAAGCAACGGUGAACCGAGCGCUUGCCAAGUAGUUGAGGAAAGGAUACUCACUGAUGCACCUUCAUCUAUAAUAGUGCUAGGUAUAAUCAUAUUACAAACUUGUAAUAUGAUCUGGAAAGGCACAUAAGAAGGAAAACGGAAUCCUGCCAAUCGAUUCCAAUCAAAGGAAGUGACGAGACUACUUGGAGGGGGUAACAUAGAAACCGAAGAAUUAACCCCUUGAGUUACGAGAGCGGGAGGAUUUUCCUCCUAUCUUGUUGGAACAGGAGGAUUGCCCCCAAGCUCAUUAGAAUCUAAAGAAACAAAAAGAACUUGAGUGGUAUCAUAUUCACUCUCUUCGGGACAGGUAAGACUAGCUGAAGGUGAAAUCGGGUCAACUGUUACCUCGACCUAUGGAUUUGGGUUGGGUGUAGACUCAUACGGUUCACUUUCAUAGAGAGUGGGUUUGACUAACGGUUGAUUUUGGUUAGUCAAUUCAUCAACUAGUGAAGGAUUUAGGGAGAGUUUCCUGUAACCAAAUGGAAGUCACUGCAGGAAAUGGAAUCGGGCUAAUAUUCCCAAAUCGGGACAUGGCGGCGUGUGGCAACGUUAUCUUUUCUUUUUAGCAACUUUCCCACCCCAGAAUCGGUUAACCCAGAGAUAGAUUCCAACAGCUGGAAGAGCACCGCACGCCUUACGGUAUCCGGUGUGCCCUCUGCAACCCUUGAAAAUCUGGAGGACCAAGUAUCGUUCAUGCCCGUUCAUACUCAUAACCACAUCAGGUCUCCAAGCUGAAUAGCCUCUGGUCAAUAGAAUAAUGUAGGUAAGGGAAGUCAACAAAACAAAUUUGUAACUUCAAGAAAAGGAUUGGCUCUGAGGGAUGGGCCUAGGGGUUUGUGCCAUAAACUCAUGGUUUUUCGGCAGUCUGCCUGAGCUUCUCUCAUGGUGAGGGCAGGUAGUCACAUGCCGAUUAGGCUAUAGGAGUAGAAUUCCCCCUAUUGGGGACUUUUCCCUAGGCGAAAAAUAGUUGACUCAGAACUGGUACAGACAAGGGGAAUCUGACUGUUUAAUUAAAACAAAGCAUUCUGAUGGUCCCUGUAGAUGUUGAUGCAAUGUGAUUUCUACCCAGUGCUCUGAAUGUCAAAUUGAAGAAAUUCAACCAAGCAUGGGUAAAUGGUAGGAGUAACUAUGACUCUCUUAAGGUAUUCAAAUGCCUCGUCGUCUAAUUAGUGACACGCAUGAAUGGAUUAACGAGAUUCCCACUAUCCCUAUCUACUAUCUAAAUAAUCCACAGGCAAGGGACCAGGCAUGGUAGAAUCAACGAGGAAAGAAGACCCUGUUGAGUUUGACUCUAGUCCGACUUUGUUUAAUGACUUGAGAGGUGUAGAAAAAGUGGGAGCCAUUUUCAGUGCAAGUGAAAUACCACUACUUUUAAUGUUAUUUUACUUAUUCUGUGGGGUGGAGAUGGGGCACUGGCUGUGUUUUUGGCCUUAAGGUACAUUUCGACGUGUCUAUCCAGUUGGAAGACAUUGUCUGGUGGGGAGUUUGGCUGGGGCAGUACAUCUGUUAAAAGAUAACACAGGUGUCCUAAGAUGAGCUCAACAAGAAUAGAAAUCUUGUGUGGAACAAAAGUGUUCAUAUCAACGUUGAUUUUUGAUCCUUCGAUGUCGACUCUUCCUAUCAUUAUGAAGUAGAAUUCACCAAGUGUUGGAUUGUUCACCCACUAAUAGGGAAUGUGAGCUGGGUUUAGGCUUUCAUGAGACAGGUUAGUUUUACCCUACUGAUGAACUGCACCUAAAUAGCACUAUUUUGGCUUCAUCCAGAUAGGGACAAAGGUGAAUAGGGUGAUUCCCUUCACAUAACCUAUAGGGAAACUUAACUUUACCCUUAUUUCCAUGAACUUUACUACCACUAGUUGAUGGUGUGUCACCAGCAUGAUCUCCAGAAGUUGAUGAAACAGGAUGAUGAGAACGGGAAGACCAUUAUUCUAAGAUCUGAGGAAUAUUAGGACAAUUUCGAAGAAGAUGGUCUCCAGCACAAAGUUUGCAUGGAUAUCGAACUUUGUGAGGCUUAACGGACAGUUUCCCAUCAGAUGUUGCAUUCAAAUUAAUGGUUGCUUGAUUGCCUCUCUACUGAAUUUGUUUCUUCUUCUUCUUCUUCCCUUUCUUCUUCUUCU